This 1579-nucleotide long non-coding RNA is filed under the name Helianthus annuus (common sunflower). Its description in RNAcentral is "hypothetical non coding rna". Lineage: Eukaryota; Viridiplantae; Streptophyta; Magnoliopsida; Asterales; Asteraceae. The record is from RNAcentral.
UUGUAAAGUUAUAUUUCCAAAUAGAGUUUUUCUUGUGAGUUUACCCCCUGGUUUAGCCUAGGGGUGACAUUUAGAUUCGAGUUUAUUCUCGGAUCGACCCCUUCUUCUUUGAUUAAUAAGAAUUAAUUAUUGAAGAUACAUCACUCUCACUCUCACUGUCUCUAUUUUUAUUCUUUGAAUGUUUAUAUACUUCACAAACACCCGUCUCAACGAAAGAAGAAGUUGCAUCGUUCUAACAGGGCCGCAAAAGGGGACCAACAAGUGGUAUCAGAGCUGAUUGGAUAAAUUAUUUCAAAGAUCCCUUGCUCCUGUAAGAGAGACGUAUAUUCAUGAUCUGUUAAAGGUAAAAAGAAUUUUUUUUUUGCAGAUAAAAAAAAAAGCAUGUAGUAGAGCUAUUAUUUUUUUUCUGUUAUUUUCAUUACUAUUGCUUUAAUUACUACUAUUAUUAUUAUCUCUAUUAGUAUUUUUUUUUAUAAUAAGAGGUGUAGAAAAAGGAUAUUAAAACACAAAAAAAGGAGUGAAACAAAGAUAAAUGAACUUUAGUUUAUCAGAAAGAAAAAUUUUGACAUCUAAAAAGAGAGUUUCUGAUAAAAGAAAGUGUGUUCGUAUCUUAUUUAAUGAAAUAACUCCAAAUUCUGGUUAGUUAAUCUUCAAAAAAAAGGAAUGAUAAUGAUAAAAAAGAGAUUAAAAAAAAAGAAAACUGUGUGAAACUUUAGAAAACAUACUCAUAAUUAUUAUCUUUUAAAAAGUUUUCACAAAAUAUUCCUUGAAGAAAAGAACAUGUAUUUUGACUUACACCAGAAAAAUAUGUGUAUGUAAUAUCUCUUUUCCUUACUUAUUCCCUCUCAUCUCCAAAAAAAAAAAAAAACAACUUUUUUUUUGAAUUUUCUGAUGCGUUGGUCAGAUUUUCUGAUGAUUUCUGAUGCGUUCGUCAGAUUUUCUGUUAAAAAAAAAAUCAGAUUUUCUAAUUAUUUUAUCAGAAAUGUCAUUAGAUUGAUCAGAUUCCAUCAGAAAUUCUGUUAAAAAAAACUUUUUUUUUUCAGAUUUUCUGAUUAUUUCAUCAGAAAUUCAUCAGAAUCUAUCAUAUUCCAUUAGAAAAUCUGUAAAAAAAAAAAAAACGAUUUUUUUCGGUUUUAUCAGAAAUUUCAUCAGAUUCAUCAGAUUUUCUGAUCCGAAAAAAAAAUCUCGACGGUUUAAGAUCAUUUUUUAUAGCUUGCAUUAUUCGUUAUUUUUUGAAGCCUCAUCAAUCGACAGCCUAAACACUUAUCCUAUAUUGGAUAGAAGAUACGUAUAUCCUAGUUGUUGGGGAUACAAGAUAUAAUGCUUACAUUUAGGUGGAAUUAUAAAUCGAGGUGAAGAAUUAUAACAACAAAAGAAAUAUAAUCAGAUGAUCAUCCAUAAAAAGUCGGACGUUUGCCAAAUAAACUUUCAAGCCAAUGAAGAUACAGUCAACGAAUAUCACUAAAAAGAUGCCUACAUGAUAACGUGCCAAGAAGAAAAGAAAGAUACAUCUUCAGCAAGUUUAUUUGGGUGACUGUUAGGAAACUUUAUUGUAUUUCUUGUUAAAAAUAGUUUAAGU